Long non-coding RNA from Cannabis sativa, 416 nucleotides. RefSeq lists it as uncharacterized. The transcript is spliced from 3 exons. The record is from RefSeq and is a predicted model, not a curated record. NCBI's taxonomy places the organism in Eukaryota, Viridiplantae, Streptophyta, Magnoliopsida, Rosales, Cannabaceae.
CAUCCUCUCUAACCCUCUUCUUCUUCAAACUUGAUUUUUGAGAAGAAAGCUUGAUUUUUAGCUUGGUUUGGAAGCUUGAUUUGUGUUGGAAGCUUGAAGCUUGUUUGAGCAAGAGAUUGAGGAUUACCGGCACCUGGUCAGGAGCACCCGGGGAUUCGGAAUCUCUGCCUUUGCGGGACAACAGGAAAGGGUAAGUCAGUGGCUGAUCAACCAUGAGUUUGAGGAGCAAGAUGAAGAAUGUACAUGUUCAAGCCAUAGCAGACCAAGCGGGUUAAGGGUCUAUCAGUGAUGAACUUUUGAAUUCUAUUUUGCCGUUUAGGUCGGCUAGAAAUAAAUGACUUGUAAUAGCGUUUGUAAAUAUUUUUGGGAUCCCAACUAUUUUAAAAGUUUUAAAUAUAUUACAAGUUUAUUUUCUU